Molecule: long non-coding RNA, 733 nt
Organism: Cynocephalus volans (Philippine flying lemur)
Lineage: Eukaryota; Metazoa; Chordata; Mammalia; Dermoptera; Cynocephalidae
Exons: 2
Source: RefSeq, a predicted model, not a curated record
GUUACCAGGCGGCUGCCACCCAUGAGCGUGCCCUGCCUAGGGUCGGGGCGCAGUCGGCGUCGCCGCGGCCGCACCGGCAGAGCUCGGGCCGGCCAGCGCAGCGGGGACUCGGCUUCCCGGGCACAUCCCCCAGACCCAUGUCACCCUGACUCUGUGGAGGGAAGCACGUGAGAACUGCACGGAGGAGGAGGAGGCUUGAAGUCAUGAACUAUGAAAUACUAGACAGCCCUCAAAAUAUAUUGACUGAAACUGAAACACCGGCCCCAGACAUGAACCUCGGUGAAUCUUCACCCAAGGAGGAGCCAGGAUCUCCACACCUACCUGCCCCUGUUUUAUGUCAUGGGUCAGCCACAACAAGAAGUCUCGGUUCACCACCUAUGGACUGUAAACUGCACUAGCCGAGGGCUCAAGGGUUAGCCCAUGUGACAACUUCCUGAGGUCCUGCUAUUGCCCAAAGAUCACAUUCCUUCCCAGGUCCAAAUGCAAAUUUGACUUCAGAACUCACCAGUAAACUAUGUCCCAUAGUCAACCAUUCCAAAUUGAAGAAGCUUGUAACCUUCAUUUACAUGAGAGGACCUCAGUGAGGACUUGGGCGGGAAGUCAGGUGGGAACUUUGGCUAUGUCAGAUGACCCUUUUACCUUUUCCCUUUCUCCCUUUUACCAGGGAGACACUGCUUUGGGAGUGAUCCCCAGUGUUCUCCUUACUUGCAAGUAAUAAAGCCUUUUCCUCCUA